Molecule: ribosomal RNA, 285 nt
Filed under: uncultured bacterium
Lineage: Bacteria
Description: partial 16S ribosomal RNA
Rfam family: Bacterial small subunit ribosomal RNA
Source: RNAcentral
UCCUACGGGAGGCAGCAGUGAGGAAUAUUGGUCAAUGGCCGAGAGGCUGAACCAGCCAAGUCGCGUGAGGGAAGACGGCCCUACGGGUUGUAAACCUCUUUUGUCGGGGAGCAAAGCGAGUCACGUGUGACUCAUUGAGAGUACCCGAAGAAAAAGCAUCGGCUAACUCCGUGCCAGCAGCCGCGGUAAUACGUAGGGGGCAAGCGUUGUCCGGAUUUACUGGGUGUAAAGGGCGGGCAGCCGGGCUGACAAGUCAGAUGUGAAAUCCGAGGGCUUAACCCGCGA